GCCCCAAUGGCGGAACUGGUAGACGCGGCAGACUCAAAAUCUGUUGCCCGAAAGGGCGUGCUGGUUCGAUUCCGGCUUGGGGCACCA
RNAcentral lists this transfer RNA (87 nucleotides) under Azospirillum oleiclasticum. Its description in RNAcentral is "tRNA-Leu". It matches the Rfam family "tRNA". Rfam says of the family: Transfer RNA (tRNA) molecules are approximately 80 nucleotides in length. Their secondary structure includes four short double-helical elements and three loops (D, anti-codon, and T loops). Lineage: Bacteria; Pseudomonadati; Pseudomonadota; Alphaproteobacteria; Rhodospirillales; Azospirillaceae. The record is from RNAcentral.